UACGUAGGGUGCGAGCGUUAAUCGGAAUUACUGGGCGUAAAGCGUGCGCAGGCGGUUUUGUAAGCCGGAUGUGAAAUCCCCGGGCUUAACCUGGGAAUGGCAUUCGGGACUGCAAGGCUGGAGUGCGGCAGAGGAGACUGGAAUUCCUGGUGUAGCAGUGAAAUGCGUAGAUAUCAGGAGGAACACCGAUGGCGAAGGCAGGUCUCUGGGCCGAUACUGACGCUGAGGAGCGAAAGCGUGGGGAGCGAACAGG
RNAcentral lists this ribosomal RNA (253 nucleotides) under uncultured bacterium. RNAcentral describes it as "partial 16S ribosomal RNA". It matches the Rfam family "Bacterial small subunit ribosomal RNA", at positions 524 to 776 of the family's 1533-position model. The record is from RNAcentral.